This is a non-coding RNA of Daphnia pulicaria, 78 nucleotides long. The record is from the annotation of a RefSeq genome assembly. Lineage: Eukaryota; Metazoa; Arthropoda; Branchiopoda; Diplostraca; Daphniidae.
GCAUUGAUGGUUCAGUGGUAAAAUGCUCGCUUGCGACGUGGGCGGCCGGCGGCCCGGGUUCGAUUCCCGGUCGAUGCA